This 465-nucleotide ribosomal RNA is filed under the name uncultured bacterium. RNAcentral describes it as "partial 16S ribosomal RNA". It matches the Rfam family "Bacterial small subunit ribosomal RNA", at positions 28 to 507 of the family's 1533-position model. The record is from RNAcentral.
GACGAACGCUGGCGGCGUGCUUAACACAUGCAAGUCGAACGGAAAGGCCCUGCUUGCAGUGUACUCGAGUGGCGAACGGGUGAGUAACACGUGGGUGAUCUGCCCUGCACUUCGGGAUAAGCCUGGGAAACUGGGUCUAAUACCGGAUAGGAGCCAUUUUUAGUGUGAUGGUUGGAAAGUUUUUUCGGUGUAGGAUGAGCUCGCGGCCUAUCAGCUUGUUGGUGGGGUAAUGGCCUACCAAGGCGGCGACGGGUAGCCGGCCUGAGAGGGUGGACGGCCACACUGGGACUGAGAUACGGCCCAGACUCCUACGGGAGGCAGAAGUGGGGAAUAUUGCACAAUGGGCGCAAGCCUGAUGCAGCGACGCCGCGUGGGGGAUGACGGCCUUCGGGUUGUAGACUCCUUUCGCUAGGGACGAAGCUUUUUGUGACGGUACCUAGAUAAGAAGCACCGGCUAACUACGUG